AUACGGCUGCGGGCUACAAUCUUUUGCAACCGCCUCAACCACUCCCUAUAGUUUUGGGCUUCAAUGUAAUUUCCCCUCUUAACCCUACCACUCUCAUAAGUCACACACCAAUCAAAAAGUCAAACUUGUCCCUAAAACACUUUCACAUUCUCCAACGCCCAGUCAAAAGCACCAUCCAACAAAAUGGCUCCAAGAAAGGGUAAAAAUGGAAACAUAAUAUUAAGGCGGGAAAAAUCAUCAGGAAAAAGUCGCCGGGAAUCAAACUCGGAAAUUCUUUCCGGUGAAAGUCUGACCGAACUGCCAGUUAGCUGGGACGAUGUUCCACGAAGUGGAGGAGCGUCGGUCACUGCCUGUGACCCUGAAGGAGAGUGACUGACCAACCAGAACCGAGUUCGACUGCCAGUUCUGUCCCCAGUUACGGCUCAGGCUCAUCCAGCCAGUCCUGGACCCUUUCACGCUCACCCUCACGAUAUCCCCUGCACCCGCGACGUUGGAGACCAAAACCAAGUUGAAGUAACGGAAGCCGUUGAUGGUGAACCUGAUCCCUCCGCGCUUCCGGCAUGGCACCCUGAGGAAAUAAGACAAAACGAGUGAGGAUAAGACGGUAAUUAUCAGUGCAGUUAGUAUAACGUGGAUCGCGGACCGUGUUUCUAGGUGGGCGUGACUAAAUCUAAAGCCCUUUUCACAUUGAUCAACGAGUCUCCGACUUUAGGAGACUGUGCUACCUAUCGUACUUUGUGCCGUCAGAUUCUCUGGUCAAGGGUGCGUACGGUUCAGAUCAUCCGAGAAGUCUAAGCACCAGUCAAGGAGAAAAGCCAGGAUUGGUUGCUAAUGUAAGUUAGUGGACUAUAAGUCAAAUUUUUCUUUUUUCGAUUAUAGGUCAAAUUUUAAAAAAAAAUUAGAGAUAAUAAAAGAUUAUAUACUGAACAUCAAACAUUCCCCUACAAAUGAUACAGUCUAUAGUUCUUUUUAACUUUAAACAAGUGACCCGACUUUGCGAAACUGUGAUUUGUAGCUUUAAUGGUUAAAAAUGUUUAUUCUAAAUUGUGUAACGUCUAAAGUCACUGUAAUGAAAACGCUCAUAGUUACUGUGUUGGCUAAAAGGUCCAAAAUUAGGGCAAAUGCUGACGUACGGCAACUUAGACACUUCCAUGAAAAGUAUAAACAACUUAUGAAAAAUCUAGAUUUAAAUUAUUUGAUAAUUUGAUUUCAACUGUUUUGGGACCAGAUAGGUUUAAUGCCAAAUAACCGAAAGUGACCAAUAAACUUCCAAAAGGAGUCGAAAUUAACUAAUGGUAAUGACCUAAAGCAAAUUAGGUCAGUUAACAGUGAUGAAGGUAUAAGUAAUAAGAUUUAAGAAAAAACUUAGACCCAUCUGGGCCAUUAUCGUGUGUCAAUAACUAACCAAACACAGAACCCAUUACAUUUUCAGAACGAAUAAUGACCCACAAGAUAAAGAAAGAUCACACAAAAAGCUUCACAAGAUGGUCCGAUUCUCAAUCUUGCAACGCAUUUCUGAUUAAAGAGUUUCAAUACUGUCGAGCACUAUAAACUUAUUGACAUUUGAGGAAAAAACGAAUUUGAAUACGUUUUGGUAAAUCUAGCUUUUACGACAGCAUUUUACGUAGCAAAACAUUUACUAGUACUAGUUCACUCUAAGACCGAGAUUUGAGUUCCAAAGUGGCAAAACAGAGUGAAAACGGAGCAUUCUGUAAAAACAAAGAUCUUAACGCUUCCGCAUUUUCCACUAGGUAAAAUGGGAAUGAGAAAGAAACUUACUUUAAAGCAGCCCAUAACUAUUUACCCAAAAAGAAAAAGUGUUUCAACUACCUAAAGCCAAAUCAGAGCAAACAAAGAAAACCAAAAACAUAGCACUAAACAGAGUAAAAAGUUAAAAAGCAGAGAAACGAGCUUUACUAACCUACGAUAGGAAACAGGGACAAUCCCGGCACGGUACUCAGCGAUCUUAAGAAACAUGGGCAUGGCAAGGUCAAAGUGAGGCCUAGGAGGGUUGCACCAUCCGCCAUUGUCGCUAGGCUGAGCAAAGUUGGGUGGGCAAAAGUUAGUUGCAGUGAUGAAAAUCGAAGGACUUCCAGAGUGGCACCAGUUCGGGUCGUUUGCGCACUUGAUUUCAAAGCAGGCACCGCAGCUGAGGCCAUUGUUGAACAGCGCCGUGCUAAGAGCAGCAGUGCUCACUCCAUAUCCCUGGCUGUAAAGAUUACCGUAUCCACAAGCACCGCCUGUAAACAACAAAUUAGCUUAGUUGGUUAGAGUGUGAUCUUAGAAUUCGUAAAUGCAUAAAAGGCGCGGUUGGGACGUACCCAUGGUGCCUGAGGCAUCAGAGCCACCGUAGAAGGUGGCAUGAGCACCUUGCCAAGCACCACCGGAGUAGACACCAGGGAUUCUAGCCUCGGUGAUAGAUGUUAGUGAGAUGAGAAGAGCAGCAAUGCAAGCCAAACUUGCCAUAGCCAUUGUUGUUGCUCUCUCUUGUUUUCUCUGUGGCUCAACACUAGAAAGGAGAAGAGAGAGUGAGCUACUCUGAAGGUGAGGGAUUAAAGCAGGAGGUUGGGGACUACUUAUGGAGGUAGCUUUGAGUUGGCCCUUAGUGGCAAAGCUUGGAAUUUUCAGACAUUAACAAUACCCCUAUAUUUAAUAUUUUCUUCUACCCCCAUUGGCAAUCAAUUGCGCGUGUGCGUCACUUACCAAUUGGAAUCCCCGUUGUACGGAUAAGUGUGGGACCCAACCCAUGUUACUCUUUUAUUUACCAGUUGGUGGGAUGUUGUCUGUUGCACGCUCUUAUGGGCGAGUGCUGAAGGUGGUUUAUAUUCUUUCGUUUCUCUCUUUUUUUGGUGUCGUGUGUUUUUUUUCUUCCUUUUUAUUUUUGGGAAGGUUUUUGGUUGUUAAAUUUUUCUUGCUAUCACACCUAAAACUCGUUUAUGGCUUUGUCCUUCGUCAAAAGAACAAAGCGAGCACAUGAUUUUUCAAACGUAACCGGAAAAUAAGAACAAUUUGCCUCCAAAAAUAGAAAAAUGAAAUCAUGACCCUGAAACGAGGAUGAACAAACCAUGUGUGUGAGAUCGUUUUAUUAUAUUUUCUUUAUCAGUUAGCAUUUCACACUUCAAUCGUAACACGAUAGUAGAUUUCUGAAAUAAUAUAAUUUUCGUAAAUUUUGAAGUAAUAAAAUUAAGAAAAAUAAGAUUUCGUGCUCCGACACUAAAAGAAAAGGUAUCAACAAUACAACAAAAUUGUUGUUGUUCACUUUUACGCAUUUCCUCGAAUACGUGAUUUGACAUACGUUUGCAAGUCAUUAAAUUGUUAACUUUUCUUUCACUUAAUAUGUGACAUCAUAUUUUUCUUAUUAUGAGGUCAUAAAAUAAAGUCUCCAAAGGUGAUUAGGGCAAAGCAAACUUGUAAAGUGAGAAAUAGAAUCUUGAAUCCUUAAUUAGUGAUAAAACGAAGUGGGGGGAAUGUUAGAUCUAGGCUCUCUAGAAAGAGUAAACUUUGAGUCAUUCUUAAGUUGAGCCGUGAUAUGCGGCUGGGAUUUUAUGACAUUCUUCAUUGGGGGGCCAAGAAAGAUUUCAUGGGGCUUGAGACAGGGAUACAAAUAUUGUGCAAUACACUUUCUACAAAAGAAAAUUGUGCAAUACAAUCUAACAAAACAAUAAAGGUCCCCGCUGAAUGAGGUACCAAGAAAUCGUUAGUGGGUGGAGAAGUCCCCAUAGGAAAAAGUACACACCUAAUCACCAAUGAAGCCAUGUAAGAACCGCCAACUAGAAGUCAUUUGAGUUGCGAAUUAAUUUUCACAGUAAUAAACUCAAAACUAUAAAAUGUUUUCCAAAAACGCUCGAGGUAAAUUUAGGAGGAUUCAUAACAAUUGUAAUUAAUUUUAGUCAUUCAUAACAAUUCAUAUGUAAAGGAUCACCAUGUAUCUAUAAUAACGUCAUCAUCUGAUCAUAUUCAUUCACAUAGUAUAUGUAGAUACAUGUCUGAUGACAUUAUGGAUAAAAAUUGUAUGUAUUAUGUAAGUACACAAUACAAUCUUAGUCAUUCAUAACAAUUCAUAUAUAAGGGAUCACAGUGCAUUAUAGUAACGUCAUCUGAUCAUAACCAUUCACACCAUAUAUGUAGAUACACGACCGUAUACUGAGGUAUGCUGUGUAAUGAAAAUCUUCUUGAUAAAUCAAAAACUAUACUACGAGAGAUUGUCACAUAAUGUAUUUGGUAUUUAGGUAAUCCGAUUAGAGCAUCCAGCUGGAGUUGAAAGAGCCACUUAAUCAGUUAAUCCCGUGAUCAUCGGUCCACAUAACCCGCCUUGCUUGCCUGGCUUUAAUAACACCAGCGGGGCACAAGUAGAACAAGAAAGGCACGUAACAAUAACAAUUAAGCUAAUUAUUUAGCUUAACUAUUGUUAAUCUCGAGCCACCCCCACACUCCACAGUGACAAUAGAGUUCGCAGACCAAACUCCAUUAUUAUCAUUUGUUAUUUUUACUUUUGGCAACUCUAUAUAUAUUUACAUAAUUAUGCAUGUAAUUUCUGUCACGUUUUGUCCCACUUUCUUUAGCUGCAUGCAAUUUCUCCACGGGCUGCGCACUACUGACAGUGAACUGCGGAAGGCUUGUAAUUUCAAAUGUAAUAGCUUCCUGGUUUCUAAUCCUCACAAUAGCGUAAAAACAUUCGAGGCUUAGGGUUGUAGUGUUGGCACAUUUUAAUCUGAUUACUUCUUCAAGCUAGAUGUUGAUAAUUGAUUACAUACGAAAAUAGAAACCACGAUCAUCUAUACAAUUAAUUAAAAUGACUAGCUCGUUUGAUAAUUAAGUUUUAUCUAUGAAAUAAAUAUACUGAUUAUUAAGUGAAUUCUUGAAAAUUGAUUUAUUUCGACACUUUUCGUUAAUUUAUACAUAGCAUGUCCAAAAAAUGGUUAUAUAAUUGAAAUAUUAUAUAUACAUGCAUGAAACACUUUCCAUUCGCGUUAAUGAUCUCAAAUUUGAACUCGAUCUAGGACAACAUUUCAACCUUGGAUAUUUUUCUCAACACGCAUGGAUCCUCCUUGAUCAGCUGAAAUGUUUGCUUGCUGCACAUAAACAGUAAAUCCACAAUGCGACUUAUGAAAUUGUUCAACGCGAGCUUCUUGCUAGUUGUGGAAAUCUUCUUUGACAUGCAAAGGCUUUAAGGAAUUAAAACCCUACCUAGCUAGCUCACUAUAAUUUCUGUCUAUAUAACUUACCAUUAUAAAUUUGAAAAUUUCUAAUUACAUUGGAUACCAUACAGAAACUAGAAUCUAAAUGGCGAUGACGAUUAUGAUGAUUACAUCUCUCGGUUUUCUGAUUUUCUAGCUUUUCACUCUUUUCUUCAUUUUUCCACGAACCUUCUGUGUUUGUCAACUUACCGCAGCUGUUUAGCAUCCACAUCAAAAGAUGGGGAACAAUGGAUUUUGUGGUAGACCUGGCAUGUAUGUUUGUUGCAGGAAAAUUCGAAUUGCAUAAUUACAGUCCAAAGUGGGCGAAUUUUGGUGGGAAAGAGGUUAAGAAAUGAACGUGGGAAGGGUUUGAACUUUGAAGUUUGAAGUCCAACACUAGCUUGACUUCAUGUAAAGCCUAAAAUCCAUGAAAUGAAAGUUACAAAGGAAACUCCCCUACAAAAUCCACCAAUUGAAGCCAUUGUAUCCGUCGAGCAUUAGUAAUGUGCAUGCCACAAUCAGAUGUUUUGGUUUCGAGUUUCGAGUUUCGAGUUUCAAGUUUCCAGUAACCGCUAUGCCUGCUAGUUAGAGCGUCAAAGCAUUCAUUUGUAUGAACUAGGGGUGGGCAUAAAGCCCGUUGGAGAUAAAAAGCCCGAUCCGGACCGGCCAGCCCGACCGGGUCGGGACGGGCUUUUUACCGGUCCCGACUAUGUUUAUUGGCGGUCCGGGCCAGGCCCGUGUAUAACCGAUUCGGGCCUGGGCCUUGUUUAUGGAAAUGAAAAAAAACCCGAGAGCCCGACUAAUAUACAUGUCAUACUUUUAUUAGGUGUUUCUAAGGAUUUACAAUAAUAGAAUGAGCUCAACCACACAGAAUUUGUGGUCAAAGACCUAAACUAAAUUGAGAGGGUCAACUCUCUCAGUCAGUCAGUCUCGCUCUCGAACUCUCGUAGUCUCGCUCUUGGACUCUCGUUGAGUCGUUGUCGCACUCGCACUCGUACACUCUCGCUGUCUCGCUCUCGAACUCUCGCAAUCUCGCUCUCGGACUCUCGUUGAGUCGUUGUCGCACUCGCACACUCUCGCUGUCUCAGACUCUCUCAGGCUCGCAUCUCAUCUUCACUGGAAAGCAGCUCGAUCAAAGGUCUGCUCCUCUCUCUCUCUCUCUCUCUCUCUCUCUCUCUCUCUCUCUCUCUCUCUCUUCGUAGUUCGUAUCUGCAAUUCUGAAUUUGAGAUUGACUUUUAUUCUAAUAUGGGUUCUUGUUUCUUGUUUUGAUCGACUCUUCUGGAGAAGAUGAUUUACAGAAAGUAAGGCUCUUCCUGGAAUUGGGGUUUCGACCGUUUCGUUGCUCUUCGGCCUCUUCCUAGUUCGAGUUUUCCUACGAGUUCUCUUGGUAUGGUUUCCUUCCUCUUUUAUGGCGAGUUUUUCUUUAUCUUCUCAGUUUAGAUAGAUGGUGAUGGUGAUUGAAGUUUAGAUAGAUGUUGAUGGUGAUUGAAGUUUAGAUAGAUGGUGAUGGUGAUUGAAGUUUAUUGACUUUAGUUGAAGUGUUUCUCUUGUUAAUUUGUUAGUGCUGGACUGAUGGUUUUAAUUAAAUUCAGUUGUUGAGAACUUGAGAUUUGAUUGUUUUGCAGCCUUUGCUAGUUUUUGCUGUGUUUUUACAGUUUACUGCUUUGUGCCUUUGUUGAGCACUUAAACAGUUGAACACUUGGUCAGUUGGUCUAGUUUUACUAUUGCAGAUUGCAGUUAAGUUGUCAGUUCAUUCAGUUGUGUGCACUGUGCAGUGUAUCGAGCUUUCAAUCUUGCACAUUUCAGUGAUUUCAUUGCAGAUUUGCAUUGCAUUUCAUUUCAGGUUAUCAGGCCCACAAGCCCGAUAGGACAGGCCAUGUUCUUACAUGUCCGGGCUUUUACCGGGCUCUAAAAUUCUUGCGCCGGUCCGGGCUUUUUUCGGGCCCUGAAUUUGAAACAAUAAAACCUGACCCGGUUGGAGUGUAUCCGGUCCGGACCCGGGCCCUGUAAAAUAGUGGCCGGGCCGGGGCCAUGCCCAACCCUAGUAUGAACCGUUCACAAAAACAGUAUAUGAACUGGAAUUCAUCCAAUAAAGCCGUUAUUAAACGAGUCUAAACUUUAGCCGAAAAUCACAAUAGGGUGGGGUGGUGUAAUCAAAUCAUGCAUUACUAAUUGUAAGAUGAAACUUGGUAUUGGUAGUCACAUCGAUCCAUGAAUCUCUAGCUAUCUUUAGCUCCAUGUGCCUCUAAGCUCUCUAACUUAUAACACAAGACUAGGAUUUUAAUUGGGGCGCGACCUAAAAGGGGGGCCAAUAGGUGCCUUCCACGUCAGGUAUCAUACAUGAGGCUGUGGGACGGGACCAGCCUGACAUUGGGCUCAUGAUGGGCUCUGAUUAGAGCGUGCGCCUCACUCGCAACCAUGUGAACUUAAUUAUAGCUCCCUGCAAGUCAACAACGUAAACCUCAGUCUUUGGCUCUUUCCGUUUGUCUCCCAUUAUUUAUUUUCUUGAAGGGAUUUUUUUUUCUGCUUUUUUUGUUCUUCUUUUUUCUAAAAAGGAAGGAAAAAAUUUGAGUCGCUUAAACUCUCGUAUUUUUCGAAACAAGCUUAAACUCUGGUUGCUCACCUAGUUUAACAUAUGCAUUUGGUCCUAGUGGAAUAUGAAGGUCUCUUUUUUGUUGAUGUUGUUCUUCUCUUGCCAAUUAAUUAGCUAGUGGAAUGAAGAUUAAACUAACGAGCUAAUAUGAAUUAGUUUGUGUUUAGUCAUGUAUUGUUGUUUGAUCAUGCAAUGGAAACUAUCUAGUAGCAACAAAAAUUAACUUGAUAAUGAGAUGGAUGAGUGUGUGUUUUAUUGUUUUUGGAGAUCUUUACUUCCAUGCAAGAGAUUCUUUUUUUUUUCUUUUCUUUCCAAGUUCAUUUAUGAAGUUUUUAAAAGGAAAAUUUUCUUCUCAUUACUGCUUUUGUCCUUAUCAAGCUAGACAAUGCUUUUGUGAUGUAGAACUAUGAUGAAAUAGUUCAUUGAUUAAUGCCCUCACAAUUAAAAACGUUCAUUUGGGAUUUCAUAUAAAACAUUGGUACGUAGUUGAGAUCUUGUUCUAGAAUCAAAAUGGAAGGAUAAGGUGGUUGCCCCAUUAGGAUACUCAAAACCGGCCAUGGAUUUAGGAUCGUUCAAUUGAAAUGGUUCGUUCAUGCAUGAUGGUUAUAAUUAAAAGAAGCUCAAUUUAGUACAUACGUACUCAACAAAUCUAUAAUGCAAUUAUUAUAGUUCUUAGCUCAAGUUGUAUAGAGUUGUCGAUAAUAUAAAUCAAAUAUUAGUGAUGUUAAUGUAAUCGUAACAUGAACUUGUACCUAUAAUCAAAUUAUCAAAUGACCGUUAAGCUUGGAUUUUUCAUCAAAUUGUUCCUCAAUUAAAAACGGGUUGACGUCUUCAUAGCUUCGUCCUUUCACUACAAUCAGCUAUGCAUUUUGAUUUCAAAACAAAAAUAGCAUCAUAAAGAUAAUAUGGAGGUCGCUUCUAAUUAGUUUGAUGCAUGACUUUGAUGAUCUUCUAAUACGAAGAAUGUUUUGUUAUAUAUAAAUUGGCUCCAUAACUAACUAAUAUAAUGUUUGACCUGUGCUAUUGGAACGAUUCGUUUGGCUAUAAUAGGCUCGAGCAUAUGAAGUUCUUGAUUUGUAAAAAUAUAGUUUCCUCUUGUUUCUUAUGUGGGGAUUCGUUAGAUUUCCUUUUUAGUUACUUAAUUGUUUAAUAAGUUUGUUUCCAUGAAAAAUUCUACAAUGUGUUAAUGCAUGUGAAUAAUGUGAUGCAUCAACUUUGUAAAUUGAGUCCUUAAAUUAGUAAUAUUAGCCCUCGAAGUUGUAAUAUGAGUUCAAAUUGUAGAAUUUUCUAGUUACAACAUUAGUAAUGAUCAUGUGUCUUUAAAGUGGUAAAAUAUAUGCUUAAAGUGGUAAUUGAGUCCUCAAAAUGAUUAAAAAAAAUUGUUACAACUUUAAGGACUCAAUUACCACUUUAAGGACUCAAUUACCACUUUAAGGACAAAUGAGGACUAAUGUUGUAACUAAUUUUUUUUACAACUUUAACAACUCAUAUUACAACUUUGAGGACUCAUUUUACAGCUUGAGGACAAAAUUGAUGCAUCACAGGCAUUAACACACUCUAGAUUUACCUUGUGUUUCCAUUGCUUAUUGGUUAAAUUUUGAAAGUUCAUUCACCUCAUUUGCCGUCAAUAUGUGUUGUGCAGGAUUUAUCGUUAUCUGUCUUCUCUCACCGAUAUGACGUGCUUUGAUAAUAUAAUUAACAUAAUCAUAUACCGCUUGAGUAUCUAUAUAUAUAUAUAGUGUUAAAGUGUUGCAUAUCUUUGUAUCUAGAAAAAAGAUAUAUAAAUCCAUAUAAUUUAGGUUAUCCUAGAUAUAUUCCUAGUCAUCUCAUCUUGCUUUGAGCACCUUUAAUUAACAUGAGCAGUAAAAUUUGAUAAUCUACCGAUUAGACAUCCUUUUGUUUUUAAGUCUGAUCGAUCUGUUCUCAAGGACAAGAUUCACUCAUGAGCAAAAUGAAAUGGUCGGUGCAAACUUCACUAGCAAGGAUUCUUCUCAUUAAUUAACUUUCCCAUGUAUAUUUUGGCAGAUGACUUAUCUAGAAACUUGGUGGCUCUUUUUCCCCCACAAUCCAAGUUAGAUGGUUGUUCAGACAUUAUUGGUUAGGGGAGGAAUUGUGCAGGUUGAUCAUAUGGACAAUUCUAACUACAAUCUAGCCUUGAUUGUUGGAUUUGCCAUAAAUAAUCAGCAGUCCUUGACAACCAAACUGCGAUUUGUUGAGACAAAUUAAUAUUGUACGUAGUUGUUUGGUCUACAUUCUUUCUUUCUUACUCAAAGGAUUCCUCAAAGCUCUAAUCCCUGAAAGAAAGAAGUCACAGAAGAGCCAAACUGUAGAGGAUUGACCUGAGUCAUAACCCAUGUAAAGCUCUAGGGUUGCAAAUUGAAUAUGCGAUCGAUAUGAUCAAAUUCCUCAGUGGAUAAAUUUCAUCUAGUUUGAAAGGAGCUUCAUAUAGCAAUCCCAGCACAUGCUAUGUCACAUACAAAUGGAUUACACUCUUAAAUGUGCAGGGCUAAGCAUUCCAUGUGGGAGAGAAUAGAACAAACAUAUAAGCCAUAUACUCCCCCAUAGCUCCAUGUGAGAAUAACAACACAGAAACAAGUAUAUAUUAAGUUAUUUAUACAUAUAGAGAUAUAUAUACAUACAGAUCCUAUCCAGCAGGAACGAAGUCUCGCUUUAAAGUUAUAUAGAUAUUCUUUCCCAUCCUUUUCUAUGAUCCUUCCUCCAUGUGAUCUAUAAUCUAGACCAAAUCCUUAAUACAUCAUCUGGUUUGUCAAAUUUUGCAGGCUACAUGACCCAUGGAUGUGACCUGAGAAAAUAAACAAAAAAAUAGAUAAUAAUAAUUUUGAUUCUUUCAUGCAUAAAUCCAACGCAGUGUCCUAUAUACUCGAGAUCUUGGAAGGCUCUGGCGAUUCGGAUACUCUCUUUAUCGUGUAGCUGAGGAGGAGAUGUAUAUUAUUAGGGUUUGUCAUUGAUGCAGUAGUAAUGCAGAAGAAGAAGAAGACCAAAUAAUGCAGGUGUUGGGGUGCAGGGUUACAAAAGCUUACUAGAAAGACUGAGUUUCUGGAACAAAGUAGUCUUGCAUUUCAUGCACUUUGGAAUAAUAUAACUGAGGGACUUCAAGCCAGUUUGACUGGGGGGAUCGUCGUCUAGGAGGACAAGUUUGUCAGUGAAGCAGGAGUUGAUUCAGAUUAAUGUGAAAAUAUAUUCAUCUCUGAUAGACAACGUGGAAAUUAAGCUAUAUAUUCUUCAGUUAAAAGAUGACGGUAACCCUAAAUAUAUUACUGUUUUCUCUAUAAAGUUCAGAUGGUAAUGAUCACCUCCAAUCAGAUGGUACGAAUCUGCAAAUUUUACUGUAUUUUUCUUACAACUUUAUAAAUAAGGAAGCCUAUAAAUAAAUAAAAAUCUUAAAAAGUUUAAACGAUCUGUGGCACAUAAUUCAUACUUCAUACAUGUGUCAUGUAUUCAUAUCUAGGUAAGAUUAGGGUUUGUUAAUACAUGUGAUGCAUUAAUUUUGUCUUCAAGUUGUAAAAUAAAUCCUCAAAGUAUUAAUAUUAGUCCUCAAAGUUGUAAUGUGAGUCGUUAAAGUUGUAAAAAAAAGUAGUUACAACAUUAACAUUAGUCAUCAUUUGUCUUUAAAAUGGUAAUUGAGUCAUCAAAGUUACAACAUUAACACUAGUCCUCAUUUGUCUUUAAAGUGGUAAUUGAGUUAUCAAAGUUGUAAUAUGAGUCAUCAAAGUUGUAACAAUUUUUUUUAAUCACUUUGAGGACCCAAUUACCACUUUAAGCACACAUUUUACCACUUUAAGGACACAUGAUGACUAAUGUUGUAAUUAAUUUUUUUACAACUUUACGGACUCAUAUUACAACUCCGAGGACUAAUAUUACUAAUUUGAUAACUCAAUUCACAUGUAUUAACACAUUAAAGAAUUUUCCUUCAUAUAUUAUGUAUUUGUCGAGCUCAUAUUGUGAGAAAGAUACAUUGACGCGGAAACAAUACAUAUUGUCAAGUCAUGAUGGCAUAAAAAAUGAACGUGGAGACCAUGUAUGAAAAUAAAAAUGAUAUGUGAAGAGGAUUGGACCUAAUCUUUACUAAAAUUAUAAGUAGGAUUCAUGAAUGAUGAUUCUAGUUUUUCUUUGAUCUUUUUAAAACAGUUUUAUUUUUCUUUACUAUAGCAGAUAACUGUUUUUUUCAUGAAUUUAAUUUUACGACCUCCACUACACCAAAUGAUUGUGAGCUUCUCUCGUAAUUCUUUUGGUAGCUGGUUUUUCUUUUUAGGUACUUCUUACGUUUAUAAUGUACAAUGAUCAAACAUCAUAUCAUACAUAAAUAAAAGGGAAAAUGACCAUUACAUCAAAAACAGCUAAAACAAUAUAGAUUCAUAUAUAUGGUGAAUGGAUUGAUUCAUAUAUAUGGUGCUACCCCAUUAAAGAUUUGAGGUCGAUCUCAAUGUGGAACAACCCCAUGGUAGUUUUGGCUAGAAGAUCCAUUUUGAAGCAAAGCCACAUGCAUAAUUGCAUUCUAGCAAUAGGCUGCAUGGUUUGGUGCAGUUCACUUAAGGAAGAAAAAUAUAGCUUCAUAGAUUCAUGAUGAAUUCAUAAGAAUAGGCAUCCGGCAUUGGUACAAAAUGAUUGAAGGAGCCCUUACAAGUCGUCCUUUUGCCCUACAAAAGGAUGGAUCUAGAUCCCUUCUGAUGGCGCCCAAAUUAGAAUUUGAGGGAGGGUGUGUGGUGGUAGUUACAAAAUUAUAAUUGAAUGAUAAGGGAUACUUUUAAAAUGAAUUGAAUGAAAUUAGGUAUUUGAGGAGACAUUGCAAUCUCUCAAUUUAUCAAUUAUAUAAAACAUGAAUGGUUCGGAUCAUUAGAUAAAUAGUUUGACAAUUUGUAAGACCAGACCGAAUGAAUUUUAGUUAAAUUUUAGACAAAGUUAGUGCUACAAUACUAAUAAUUUCUCGAAUACUCGGAGUCGAUUUUACGCACCAAGGUGCACUUGCACCAUUAAUGUAUAAGUCAUCUAAUCGCCGUAUACGAAUAUCGAAUGAAGACUAGAGACCUUAAAUUCUUUCAUCUCAUUUUCAUUUUUGAUCCGAUCAAAUUAAGCGCUCAUAAUAAGAGUACCUCUUAUUCGAUCUCAAGUCCUCACCUCCUGUGUUGGAAACACUUAAGACUAUUUUUUUGGGUUUCAAUUUUGUUAACGGUAUUAGAAUACAUGCAUGAUAAUGCGAUCGACGUUGAUGACCGGAUUAAAAUAUUACAUAUUAGUUGUUCGGUUCAUUUACACCUUGGUGCGUAGAAGAAUUUUCGUCAAAUACUAUACUAUCUUGUACACACUUAGGAGUCUAGCUUUCCUUUAAUCUUGGGAAGCAUAUAUGGUCCUAUAUAUGUCCCCCUUUCAAGAGAAUUCGAUUGGGAAGCAAUCUAAACCAAACAAACAUCUAUGAUCAUUUUAAUUCUGAUGCUCAAGUUCGCAUGCAUGGGAUCAUCAAUAUCAUUGAUAUGGUUGGAAGCAGGGACCAAAAUAAUUCCCAAACGUACAAUAACCUACUCCAAUUCUAAUGCAUGCCUACCCUAAUUGUUGGACCUUUACGCAAUCUAUCUCCAAGAAUAAAGCCACAAGUUUCUCAACCAAGCAAACGGAGAUCGAAUCAUAUCAUAUCUAAAAGACCAAGCAACGACCUUUUUAUCAUCUUUGGUUUCUUCUACUAAAACAUCAACAUUUGCAGGUGCUGCACCAUCACUAUGUCUCUGUCCAAAACCCUCAAUUCAUAUGGCCCCGGAAUUUUUCUUUCUUAUUCUUUUCAGAUUGACAAAGUAGUCGGGUUCUUGCUCAAAGCUAGCUUGACCAACUACCACACCAACCAACUUAACUGCCUCUUGUUAUUAUAUAUGCUACACCGUACCCAAAAGAAGUCGAGAUAUUAACUAAAGGAUUCUGGCCAGCCUCCUAAUUGAUUAAUGGUCUUCAAUUGUGCUUGUUGAUGAUUUGAUUAAGAUUGUAGAGUUAAAGGGGAGUCGAUCACCUAACGCGCGCAUGAAAUUUUCCAGAAGACAGAUCCAUGGACAAAGAAGAUAAACUGUCAGCUCUUAUUCAUUUGGAAAUUCUGAAAGUAAUAAUGAGCAAAAUUGAUUCUUCCCCAACUUUACCAAAGUUUCCGGGUUUCAAUCAACUAAUAAUUUAGUUGGUUGAUGUAGUUAACUAAGUAAAUGAAACUAAUGAUGAACUUCAGGGAAGUGCUGCGAGUGAGGUAGCCAUUAAUAGACUCGACGAGAAUUACAGAUAUGAAUAGUAAGUUACAUAGUAGCAGUGGAAAGGCUAGAAAUCUUGAAUUGGAUAUGAGAACUUGAUUCUUCGCCUAGGAUGAAACUCGUGCUUACUUGAAAAUUUGCCGGGCCGGGCGCGUCACCGCCACACGCCGAUGAGGGCGGUGAGAUCGCCGCUGGGAAAGUCAGGGGAUAGUGGUCGCCGAAAGAGGACGAGCUGCUCACUCGGCUGGUCACCCAGUUUGGCGCCAGAAACUGGAGAGUCAUCGCCAGAGGAAUUCCGGGCCGCUCCGGCAAGUUUGGCCGGCUCCGGUGGUGCAAUCAGCUCAAUCCCGGCGUAAAGCGCGAGAAAAAAAAAAAUUUGAACCAAAAUUAAUGUGCUUUAGAAUUGGCCCUACCAUUAUGUAACUAAACAUUGGGCCACUAAGAAGCUUUAUCCACAAGGCUAUGGCAGUACACAGCGUUCAAAUUGUUUCCAUUGCUAAUUGGGCAGCAUGUUUCAGCAAGAGGACCAUAACUGAGAAUAUGAGACGUAAAAGAGGAGGGAGGGAGUAAAAGAAUGAAAAGAAUAUAUUAAAAAAGAAAACCAUUGCUAGGGGAACACACAUGAUUAUUCUCUACAGGUAUAAAAGAUGGAAUCACAUCAAUUAGCAUUAACUCUAUCAUCUCUUGCAUCUGUAUGUAUAUGUAUGUCAACUGCACAGCUCCGUACAUAGCUGCUGAAUCCGGGAAGGGCUGCUAUCUUCCAACGAAUACGUGCUGGUUUUCCCAUUGCUUGAGCAAGUCACAUUCAGUUGAUUUCCGAGCUGGUUCGUCUGCAAGAUUGGUGAAUAGAUGCAUAUACAGAACCAUGUAUCAGUACAAUAUUAGUUUGCAGCAACAUAGAUGACAUAAACAGAAACUUAAUUCGGGAAACAAACUUAAGGCUAGAAGCUUAAAAACAAUGUGGAUGAUGGAGCAUAGCAACGGGUGAGUUGAGGAGCUCCGAUGGGCUAGAUGGACAAUUAAUAUCUCAUAACUUUAGUAGAAUGGACACAAGCAGUGAGAACCUUUUCAAUCCAUUUCUUAAAUUCAAAAAGUUUAAUAAAACUAAAACAGGCUUCAUCUGGUUUGAUAAUCUUCAGUUUUUCAUUGUAUUGGCACAUCACUUUAAUAAGCGACUACUUUUAUUUGUCAAAUAAUAUGGUAAAAGUAAUGAGUCGGAAGAAAAUUAGUGCAGCAACAAUUACCAGACACUCAAUUUGGUGUGGCUUGCACUUCCAUUUGGAGGUUGGGACACAGCUUAAAUAAUGACACCAGGAACAGUACUCAUUCAGAUUGACUCCUCUUAGGAGAUAAAUUAGGCCAAGAGUAAAACUGUCAAAAAUCAGAAGACUACUGUCAGAAAAUUCUUAUAUCUACUGGUUUUAGGCACCUAAGAUGAGAAUGAAUUUCCAUUUCCAAUAAAGAAAGAAAAUAAAGAACAUGACCUAGUAUCAUCAAGGUGACCAACUAGUAUUAGACAUAAAGAAACAUAGUUAUGAAGGUUGUCAAGUUCUCCGAUUUGAUCAUAAGACACACUCAUUACAUAUGCUGUAAAAUUGUCAUUAAAGUAGUUACGGUACAGGAAGCGAAACAAUCAAU
RNAcentral lists this long non-coding RNA (15648 nucleotides) under Fragaria vesca (wild strawberry). RNAcentral describes it as "long non-coding RNA (FVES_LNC002599)". Lineage: Eukaryota; Viridiplantae; Streptophyta; Magnoliopsida; Rosales; Rosaceae. The record is from RNAcentral.